Molecule: long non-coding RNA, 500 nt
Organism: Lycium barbarum (goji berry)
Lineage: Eukaryota; Viridiplantae; Streptophyta; Magnoliopsida; Solanales; Solanaceae
Exons: 3
Source: RefSeq, a predicted model, not a curated record
CUUAUGAGAGGAAAGGGUUUCCUCUCUCAAACCCUAGCACCGCCCCCUUUUUCUCUCUCCACUUUGACAUCGUACAUGCAAGAAAUGGCAAAGAUAAGGACGCAUAGGUGAUACUUGCUUUGUAGGGCUGAGAAUGACAAGAGCAUUAAAUGCUCUACCAUUUCUCAACCAAUACUACAAGGAUUCAACUCAAAACACGUUAAUUGGAGUGUAAAAUUGAAGUCCAAGUCCAAAUCUCUUCCGAGGCUACGCAUACAAGAGGGAUUAUGAAUGACUUACCCAGAGCCAAGAAAGGAGUAACGAGGCUUCGAAUUACAAGUCUGACUCAGCCCAAUCACUUUGAAUCUAGGUUGUUGGGGUUCUUCAUGUGAAAUUACUCACUAUGGGACAUUUUAAGAUUAAUUAAAGGGCUUGUGUAUGCAAAUUAUGUGAGACUUUAGCAAUUUUAUGUAUUAUAAUGAGAGUAUAGCAUGAUAAAUAAAUUGAUAUUUGCCUUUUUA